UGGGGAAUAUUGGACAAUGGGCGAAAGCCUGAUCCAGCCAUGCCGCAUGAGUGAAGAAGGCCUUUGGGUUGUAAAGCUCUUUUAGUGAGGAAGAUAAUGACGGUACUCACAGGAGAAGUCCUGGCUAACUCCGUGCCAGCAGCCGCGGUAAUACGGAGAGGGCUAGCGUUAUUCGGAAUUAUUGGGCGUAAAGGGCGCGUAGGCUGGUUAAUAAGUUAAAAGUGAAAUCCCGAGGCUUAACCUUGGAAUUGCUUUUAAAACUAUUAAUCUAGAGAUUGAAAGAGGAUAGAGGAAUUCCUGAUGUAGAGGUAAAAUUCGUAAAUAUUAGGAGGAACACCGGUGGCGAAGGCGUCUAUCUGGUUCAAAUCUGACGCUGAAGCGCGAAGGCGUGGGGAGCAAACA
This 402-nucleotide ribosomal RNA is filed under the name uncultured bacterium. RNAcentral's name for it is "partial 16S ribosomal RNA". It matches the Rfam family "Bacterial small subunit ribosomal RNA", at positions 355 to 774 of the family's 1533-position model. The record is from RNAcentral.